GAUGAACGCUGGCGGCGUGCCUAAUACAUGCAAGUCAAGCGAACAGACGAGGCGCUUGCUCUUCUGACGUUAGCGGCGGACGGGGGAGUAACACGUGGAUAACCUACCUAUACGACUGGGAUAACUUCGGGAAACCGGAGCUAAUACCGGAUAAUAUAUUGCACCGCAUGGUUCACUCGUGAAAGACGGUUUUGCUGUCUCUUAUAGAUGGACCCGCGCCGCAUUAGCUAGUUGGUAAGGUACCGGCUUACCAAGGCAACGAUGCGUAGCCGACCUGAGAGGGUGAUCGGCCACACUGGAACUGAGACACGGUCCAGACUCCUACGGGAGGCAGCAGUAGGGAAUCUUCCGCAAUGGGCGAAAGCCUGACGGAGCAACGCCGCGUGAGUGAUGAAGGUCUUCGGAUCGUAAAACUCUGUUAUUAGGGAAGAACAAAUGUGUAAGUAACUAUGCACGUCUUGACGGUACCUAAUCAGAGAGCCACGGCUAACUACGUG
Molecule: ribosomal RNA, 497 nt
Filed under: uncultured bacterium
Lineage: Bacteria
Description: partial 16S ribosomal RNA
Rfam family: Bacterial small subunit ribosomal RNA
Source: RNAcentral